RNAcentral lists this ribosomal RNA (460 nucleotides) under uncultured bacterium. Its description in RNAcentral is "partial 16S ribosomal RNA". It matches the Rfam family "Bacterial small subunit ribosomal RNA", at positions 338 to 795 of the family's 1533-position model. The record is from RNAcentral.
CCUACGGGAGGCAGCAGUGAGGAAUAUUGGUCAAUGGCCGGAAGGCUGAACCAGCCAAGCCGCGUGAAGGACGAAGGUGCCAAGCAUUGUAAACUUCUUUUGUCAAGGGACAAAAUCAGGCUCGAGAGCCUGACCGAGGGUACUUGAAGAAAAAGCAUCGGCUAACUCCGUGCCAGCAGCCGCGGUAAUACGGAGGUGGCAAGCGUUAUCCGGAUUUACUGGGUGUAAAGGGCGAGUAGGCGGGAUUGCAAGUCAGAUGUGAAAACUAUGGGCUCAAACGAUAGAGUGCAUUUGAAACUGAAGUUCUUGAGUGAUGGAGAGGCAGGCGGAAUUCCCGGUGUAGCGGUGGAAUGCGUAGAUAUCGGGAGGAACACCAGUGGCGAAGGCGGCCUGCUGGACAUUAACUGACGCUGAGGCGCGAAAGCGUGGGGAGCAAACAGGAUUAGAUACCCUUGUAGUC